This 440-nucleotide ribosomal RNA is filed under the name uncultured Acidovorax sp. RNAcentral describes it as "bacterial SSU rRNA". It matches the Rfam family "Bacterial small subunit ribosomal RNA", at positions 941 to 1382 of the family's 1533-position model. Lineage: Bacteria; Pseudomonadati; Pseudomonadota; Betaproteobacteria; Burkholderiales; Comamonadaceae. The record is from RNAcentral.
GUGGUUUAAUUCGAUGCAACGACGAAAACCUUACCCACUUUGACAUGUACGGAAUCCUUUAGAGAUAGAGGAGUGCUCGAAAGAGAGCCGUAACACAGGUGCUGCAUGGCUGUCGUCAGCUCGUGUCGUGAGAUGUUGGGUUAAGUCCCGCAACGAGCGCAACCCUUGUCAUUAGUUGCUACAUUCAGUUGGGCACUCUAAUGAGACUGCCGGUGACAAACCGGAGGAAGGUGGGGAUGACGUCAAGUCCUCAUGGCCCUUAUAGGUGGGGCUACACACGUCAUACAAUGGAUGGUACAAAGGGUCGCCAACCCGCGAGGGGGAGCCAAUCCCAUAAAGCCAUUCGUAGUCCGGAUCGCAGUCUGCAACUCGACUGCGUGAAGUCGGAAUCGCUAGUAAUCGCGGAUCAGCAUGUCGCGGUGAAUACGUUCCCGGGUCUU